RNAcentral lists this transfer RNA (76 nucleotides) under Vibrio parahaemolyticus. RNAcentral describes it as "tRNA-Gly". It matches the Rfam family "tRNA". From Rfam's summary of the family: Transfer RNA (tRNA) molecules are approximately 80 nucleotides in length. Lineage: Bacteria; Pseudomonadati; Pseudomonadota; Gammaproteobacteria; Vibrionales; Vibrionaceae. The record is from RNAcentral.
GCGACACUAGCUCAGUUGGUAGAGCGCAACCUCGCCAAGGUUGAGGUCACGAGUUCGGACCUCGUGUGUCGCUCCA